Molecule: transfer RNA, 90 nt
Filed under: bacterium AH-315-P15
Lineage: Bacteria
Description: tRNA-Ser
Rfam family: tRNA
About the family: Transfer RNA (tRNA) molecules are approximately 80 nucleotides in length. Their secondary structure includes four short double-helical elements and three loops (D, anti-codon, and T loops).
Source: RNAcentral
GGAGAGGUGCCAGAGUGGUCGAAUGGGGCGGUCUCGAAAACCGUUGAGCGUGCGAGCGUUCCGAGGGUUCGAAUCCCUCUCUCUCCGCCA